AAGAAAUAAUAACCAUAACAUCAAAAUAUAGAAUCUAACAAGAUUCAAAAGUCACAAUGAAAAUAUAGUAGUUCAGAUUAAUAAAGUUCAAACACAAAGACAAUAAUAAAACCCUAAAACAUCUAUUCCUCUUGAGCAGAAUCACCAGUCUGCUUGUUGUGCUUCCUUGCAUACCUCUGGUUCCUCAAGAACUUGGGGUCCAUCUGCAUCAAAAAAAAAAAAACACAAAUUUAAUAAAUAUAACAUCAAACACAACUGCAUACACCCUUGAAUUGAAAACAGAUACACAAUCUAAAACAACCUCAAAAUUAUCAAAUUGUAACAAAACAGAUAACAGAAUUCACCCAUUACAAUAUUAAAACAAGCAGAAAAUAGCAUUCACCAGCAUCAUAUCAUAACAAAAUAACAAAUAGACAAACAAUCUCAAAUAUCCUCCAUAUUAGGGUUAUUGGAUUUUAUUACCCCUAACUAUCGGCUAUUUGUCGCUGCCACCCCCAACUAUCACUUUGACGACACACUAAGUGUUAAGUUGGAGGUGACAGGCGUCAAAGCGAUAGUUGGGGGUCAUAAAAUCCAAUAACUCUCCAAAUUAUGAGAACAUAACCUUGGUUUAAAAAAGCGGGAAGCGCACAAAAGCGACGAUGUCUAAAACCUAGGCGCAAAGCGUAAAAGCGGUAAGCUUUUCGUACACAAGGCGCAAAGUGAUUAUAUAAAUAAUUUUAUAUACCCCAUAGGUUUUUAGCAUCCCCUACCUUUGAUUUUAGCUAAAAUUAAGCUUUAAAUAUGAUUUAAAAGGAAAAAACAGAAAUGUACAGCAUAAAAAGCCUAUUUUACCACACUCAGCUGCACAGAAACACCCCAUGUACAAAAGGCGCGGGCCUCACCUGCGUCUCAGGUCAAAUUUUAGGCUAAAAGGCGCGCCUCACCUGCGACUUUUGUACACCCUGAGCCUUAUGUCACACAAAGCCAUUUGGUUUGCGCCUUAGGUCGCCGUAACACAAAGAUAAACAAAAUUCAGACAUUAUCAUAUCAAAACAAGCAGAUAAAUUGACAAAUAAUAGAUCAAAACCUAAAAUCACUAUAAAAAAAUCUUGAAAAUAAUCAUUAAAAUUCGCUAAUUAAAUCGGUUGAAUCAAUUAACUUUUCAUCUAAAUCUCAGAAAACUAUUUCAAUUUAGAAAGAUUGCACAAAAUAACCACCAAUUACAGGCAACCAAAACCCUAACUAAAAAAACCCAAAUUAGAAAAAAUUGCAAAUAAAAAAAAGAAAAAAACACAUACGCCUUUGGUGGAAGUGUGACGGUGCUUCCUUGGCUUCUUGAUGCCGUUCCUGUGAGCCUUGUAAGACUGGUUAUGUGCGGUGUGGUUCUUCGAUUUCGCCAUUUCUCACGCACUAGUUUCACCAAAAAUUAAAACAAAUUAACACACAUACAAAUCGAUUGAUAAUACUCAACUUAUGUACAGAUCAGAAGCUGGAACCAGGGUUUUAGAUUGAGAAAAAAUGGUGAGAGUGAUACCUGUUUGGCUGCUGCUGCUGGUGGAGAAAGAGAUUAGGGUUUUUAUGGUGGACAGAAAGAAGGAAAUGGGUCGUUGUCUCUAUUUAAAAACCCUAAAUUGCAAAUGGACCUCUUAAAUUGGGCUCGGCCCAAUACUUCACUAGUAUCCAUUUACCCACCAGUCACCACAAAGGAUUGAUGGAUAAUGAAAGUAGAGGUGGACAUAUUGGGGUUGGAACUGAUAUAAUCGGUUUAGAUUUGGUUCUCGUUAUUUGA
RNAcentral lists this long non-coding RNA (1771 nucleotides) under Helianthus annuus (common sunflower). RNAcentral's name for it is "hypothetical non coding rna". The record is from RNAcentral. Lineage: Eukaryota; Viridiplantae; Streptophyta; Magnoliopsida; Asterales; Asteraceae.